This 253-nucleotide ribosomal RNA is filed under the name uncultured microorganism. Its description in RNAcentral is "partial 16S ribosomal RNA". It matches the Rfam family "Bacterial small subunit ribosomal RNA", at positions 524 to 776 of the family's 1533-position model. The record is from RNAcentral.
UACGUAGGGUGCGAGCGUUAAUCGGAUUUACUGGGCGUAAAGCGCGCGUAGGUGGUUUGAUAAGCGAGAUGUGAAAGCCCCGGGCUUAACCUGGGAAUUGCGCUUGUGACUGGCGGGCUCGAGUACGGUAGAGGGGGGUGGAAUUCCUGGUGUAGCAGUGAAAUGCGUAGAGAUCAGGAGGAACACCGAUGGCGAAGGCAGCCCCCUGGGCCUGUACUGACGCUCAUGCACGAAAGCGUGGGGAGCAAACAGG